RNAcentral lists this ribosomal RNA (468 nucleotides) under uncultured bacterium. Its description in RNAcentral is "partial 16S ribosomal RNA". It matches the Rfam family "Bacterial small subunit ribosomal RNA", at positions 28 to 507 of the family's 1533-position model. The record is from RNAcentral.
GACGAACGCUGGCGGCGUGCCUAACACAUGCAAGUCGAACGGAAAGGCCCUGCUUUUGUGGGGUGCUCGAGUGGCGAACGGGUGAGUGACACGUGAGUAACCUGCCCUUGACUUUGGGGUAACUUCAGGAAACUGGGGCUAAUACCGGAUAGGAUCUCCUGCUGCGUGGUGGGGAUUGGAAAGUUUCGGCGGUUGGGGAUGGACUAGCGGCUUAUCAGCUUGUUGGUGGGGUAGGGGAUGACCAAGGCUUUGACGGGUAGCCCGCCUGGGAGGGUGGCCGGGGACAUUAGGCCUGAGAUACGGAGCAGUCGCGUACGGUAGGCAGCAGUGGGGAGUAUUGCACAACGGGCGGGAGUCUGAUGCAACGGCGUCGGGUGCGUGAAGACGGCCUUCUGGUUGUAAACCGCUGUCGCCUGUGACGAAGCGGUAGUGACGGUAACGGGUAAAGAAGCACCGGCUAACUACGUG